RNAcentral lists this ribosomal RNA (253 nucleotides) under uncultured bacterium. RNAcentral's name for it is "partial 16S ribosomal RNA". It matches the Rfam family "Bacterial small subunit ribosomal RNA", at positions 524 to 776 of the family's 1533-position model. The record is from RNAcentral.
GACGUAGGGCGCGAGCGUUGUCCGGAUUUAUUGGGCUUAAAGAGCUCGUAGGCGGCUUGUCGCGUCGAAUGUGAAAUCUCAGGGCUCAACUCUGACAUUGCAUUCGAUACGGGCAGGCUAGAGUUCGGUAGGGGAGACUGGAAUUCCUGGUGUAGCGGUGAAAUGCGCAGAUAUCAGGAGGAACACCGGUGGCGAAGGCGGGUCUCUGGGCCGAUACUGACGCUGAGGAGCGAAAGCGUGGGGAGCGAACAGG